UACGUAGGGUGCAAGCGUUGUCCGAAAUUACUGGGCGUAAAGGGUUCGUAGGCGGGUUGUCGAGUCGGUUGUGAAAAACAGCAGCUCAACUGCUGGCUUGCAGUCGAUACGGGCAGACUUGAGUACUGCAGGGGAGACUGGAAUUCCUGGUGUAGCGGUGAAAUGCGCAGAUAUCAGGAGGAACACCGGUGGCGAAGGCGGGUCUCUGAGCAGUAACUGACGCUGAGGAACGAAAGCGUGGGUAGCGAACAGG
This 253-nucleotide ribosomal RNA is filed under the name uncultured bacterium. RNAcentral describes it as "partial 16S ribosomal RNA". It matches the Rfam family "Bacterial small subunit ribosomal RNA", at positions 524 to 776 of the family's 1533-position model. The record is from RNAcentral.